CCAGCAGAUCCGCACCAAACACCUGCUCCCUGCGUACCAGGAGACUGAGCAUGGAAGCUUCCGGGUCACCUCCAGCAGCUCCCAGUUCAGUUCACGUGAUUCUACACAGCUCUCAGACUCUGGCUCUGCUGAAGACGUUGAUGAAUUUGAGAUCCAAGGUAAGAAAUGACAGCUCAUUACAGGGGCAUUUAUGACUUGUUUCUUUUCGUUUGAAAUACUGGGCUGAGCGACCUUCACUAUGACGCAUUACGGAACACUGUUAGUUAUUAUAAGCAAUGGCUACUCUUGCUAAAAUCAAGCCCUCCAACAUGCAUGCAGAAGAGAGCCUUAAUCAAAGGGGGCGGCCAGCCGUUGGUGUCACCCUGACUGUCCUCAAGUCUGUACCUUUCUCUUGGGUCCUCACUCUUGUUCCUCCUCCUAGCUGAGCCAAACCACAUGAAUUAGACUGUUUUCCCUGGGCUUCACAACACCAUGAAAUUGUUCCAAAAUAUGUUGAGAGAGAGAGAGAGAGAGAGAGAGAGAGAGAUUGAUUUAUUGUAAUUAAAGAAACGACAGGAAUCAUUAGGGAGAAGCAAAAGAAGACAAAAA
This 588-nucleotide long non-coding RNA is filed under the name Rattus norvegicus (Norway rat). RNAcentral's name for it is "long non-coding RNA NONRATT006634". The record is from RNAcentral. Lineage: Eukaryota; Metazoa; Chordata; Mammalia; Rodentia; Muridae.